RNAcentral lists this ribosomal RNA (1119 nucleotides) under uncultured soil eukaryote. Its description in RNAcentral is "SSU rRNA". It matches the Rfam family "Eukaryotic small subunit ribosomal RNA", at positions 80 to 1160 of the family's 1831-position model. The record is from RNAcentral.
UGUGAAACUGCGAAUGGCUCAUUAAAUCAGUUAUAGUUUAUUUGAUAGUACCUUACUACUUGGAUAACCGUGGUAAUUCUAGAGCUAAUACAUGCUUUAAACCCCGACUUCUGGAAGGGGUGUAUUUAUUAGAUAAAAAACCAAUCGUAGCAAUACGUUAACUGGUGAAUCAUGAUAACUAUUCGAAUCGCAUGGCUUCGGCUGGCGAUGGUUCAUUCAAAUUUCUGCCCUAUCAACUUUCGAUGGUAGUAUAGAGGACUACCAUGGUUUUAACGGGUAACGGAGAAUUAGGGUUCGAUUCCGGAGAGGGAGCCUGAGAGACGGCUACCACUUCCAAGGAAGGCAGCAGGCGCGCAAAUUACCCAAUCCUAACACAGGGAGGUAGUGACAAUAAAUAGCAAUAGAGGGCUGAUUUCAGCUUUCUAAUUGCAAUGAGAACGAUUUAAAUCCCCUAUCGAGUAUCUAUUGAAGGGCAAGUCUGGUGCCAGCAGCCGCGGUAAUUCCAGCUUCAAUAGCGUAUAUUCAAGUUGUUGUAGUUAAAUAGCUCGUAGUUGAAUUUCAGGGUGUCUCCUCGUGAUCCGCCUAACCGGUGUGUAUCGCGGGGAACACUCUCGCUAUGGGACACUCUUCUCUGCUCUUAACUGAGUGGCGAAAAAAGCGGGCCGCGUGCGCAGCAAUGCGCGCGCGGUUCCGCCGGGUUCCCAUUCAUGUACUUUGAAUAAAUCGGCGCAGCUCAAAGCAAGUAUUAUUGCUACUGAACGCAUCAGCAUGGGAUACUCAAACAGUGAGUGGUUCACUUUUGUUGGUUUUUGGACCAGUCAAAUGAUUAAUAGGGAUAGUUGGGGGCAUUAGUACUCAGAUGCCAGAGGUGAAAUUCUUGGACUCUCUGAUGACUAACUAGUGCGAAAGCUUUUGCCAAGGAUAUUCUCAUUAAUCAAGAACGAAAGUUAGGGGAUCGAAGACGAUUAGAUACCGUCGUAGUCCUAACCAUAAACGAUGCCGACUAGCGAUUGGGAAAUGUUACUUGUAUGACUUUCCCAGCAGCUUGUGAGAAAUCAUAAGUCUUUGGGUUCCGGGGGGAUUAUGGUCGCAAGUCUGAAACUUAAAGGUAUUGACGGA